UGGAAAGCCGGGUUUAGCCCUGGCCGAGAGCCGCUGGCUUUGGGAGGACCUCUGAUCUGGUCCCGCCUCUGCCGCUUGCGCUGUGUGGCCGUGGCCGAGUCAUUUCUACACUGACUAUCUGUAUCCCUGCUGGCAUCCAGUGAAUAUUGAUGGAAUGACACAUGAAUAAUGUGUGUUCUAGAGCCAGUGGUGUGCUGAUAAGUGUUCGACAGCCGACUCUCUGGAGGGAAGAGAGCAAUAUAUGCAUAUAUAUGAUAAUCGACACAACAAUAAAUCAAGGCCCUGAUUUGUAGCAUUUGCUGAUAUCCAUGGUGUAAAUACUCCCACCAUGGCUGAUUUCAAUCUGCCGCACACAUUGUUACUGAAGGAAAGAGACGAGUGGUAACAUACCCUUUCGUAGCAGUUUCCUCAUGCAGGUACAAUAACAACUCCAAGAGCAUAGUGGCUGUGUUUAACAAUUUGGCUUGCAAAAUUCCUGAAGUGUUAACAGUUGGCCUUCGCGGUCCUGGACAAGCCAGCUCCCCAACAGCUUUACGCCUCAGUUUUCUCAUCUGCAAAAUAGGGAUAAGGACCGCUGCUUCGCUUACUUGCAGGCCUGUUGUGAAGAUCAAAUAAGGUAAAGCUUGUUGAGGAUACUGGACUGGAGGGGACGGAGAGGACUGGACAGGAGACUGCAGGCAGAGAGAUCGGUUGGGAAACCAUUGCAAUCCCAUGAGAGAUGCUGAGGGAUGCAAGAGAGGAGGAGGAAGGAUCAGCCAGCAGAACUUAGCAACUCUGCACCUCAGGGUGCAUUGAGGUGAAGAAGAUAUGAGUCCUGGAGCCAGAGAGACCUUUUUAAAAUGGAAAUUUGUUGGGGCGCCUGGCUGGCUCUGUUGCUAGAGCAUGCAACUCUUGAUCUCUGGGUCAUUAAGUUCGAAUCCCACAGUGGGUGUGGACUUUACUUAACAAUAAAAUUAAAAGCGAAA
Long non-coding RNA from Prionailurus viverrinus (fishing cat), 965 nucleotides. RefSeq lists it as uncharacterized. The transcript is spliced from 3 exons. NCBI's taxonomy places the organism in Eukaryota, Metazoa, Chordata, Mammalia, Carnivora, Felidae. The record is from RefSeq and is a predicted model, not a curated record.